Molecule: RNA transcript, 463 nt
Organism: Triticum urartu
Lineage: Eukaryota; Viridiplantae; Streptophyta; Magnoliopsida; Poales; Poaceae
Source: RefSeq, a predicted model, not a curated record
GUUUGAUUGCUGGACCAGCUGCUGGACGUGGUGCACUGGAUCCGGCAGGCGGUGGUGCUCUGGGGCGUCGUCCCCCUCGUCGGCGCCUUCUCGAUCGUCCUGUACACUCACAAUUAUUGUACAGAUUGAUGCUACGGCUAUACUGCAGCGCAGGUGGGCAGGGGCACCUUCGGCGGCGUAGAUGGGCCUUGCUCGCGCGACGGUUGAUGAGGUUGAGUGCCAUUGGUGGCUGGGGCCUAGGGUUGGCUGCUGCCGCGAGCGACGGGGGACGGAGGAAGAAGGAAAGGGGGUAAUUAGCGUAAGGUUUACAAAGGACUUUUUUUUGUAAAAAUGCCAAUGAACUAUGCUGGCAACAUUAUUUUUCGGACGGAUGGAGUACUACUUUGCUUGCAAAACUAGGAGAUGACUAUUCAUAUCUUAUUUUGAUCAGAUAUUGUUGUGUAAAUUGAUAGUUGUGCUGCCC